AAAGCGUGCGCAGGCGGUUUUGUAAGUCUGUCGUGAAAGCCCCGGGCUCAACCUGGGAAUUGCGAUGGAGACUGCAAGGCUUGAAUCUGGCAGAGGGGGGUAGAAUUCCACGUGUAGCAGUGAAAUGCGUAGAGAUGUGGAGGAACACCGAUGGCGAAGGCAGCCCCCUGGGUCAAGAUUGACGCUCAUGCACGAAAGCGUGGGGAGCAAACAGGAUUAGAUACCCCUGU
Molecule: ribosomal RNA, 230 nt
Filed under: uncultured bacterium
Lineage: Bacteria
Description: partial 16S ribosomal RNA
Rfam family: Bacterial small subunit ribosomal RNA
Source: RNAcentral